GAGUGAACGCUGGCGGUAGGCCUAACACAUGCAAGUCGAGCGGCAGCACAGUAAGAGCUUGCUCUUACGGGUGGCGAGUGGCGGACGGGUGAGGAAUACAUCGGAAUCUACUUUUUCGUGGGGGAUAACGUAGGGAAACUUACGCUAAUACCGCAUACGACCUACGGGUGAAAGCAGGGGAUCUUCGGACCUUGCGCGAUUGAAUGAGCCGAUGUCGGAUUAGCUAGUUGGCGGGGUAAAGGCCCACCAAGGCGACGAUCCGUAGCUGGUCUGAGAGGAUGAUCAGCCACACUGGAACUGAGACACGGUCCAGACUCCUACGGGAGGCAGCAGUGGGGAAUAUUGGACAAUGGGCGCAAGCCUGAUCCAGCCAUACCGCGUGGGUGAAGAAGGCCUUCGGGUUGUAAAGCCCUUUUGUUGGGAAAGAAAAGCAGCAGGUUAAUACCCCGCUGUUCUGACGGUACCCAAAGAAUAAGCACCGGCUAACUUCGUG
RNAcentral lists this ribosomal RNA (493 nucleotides) under uncultured bacterium. Its description in RNAcentral is "partial 16S ribosomal RNA". It matches the Rfam family "Bacterial small subunit ribosomal RNA", at positions 27 to 507 of the family's 1533-position model. The record is from RNAcentral.